UUUGGGUUUAAAAGUUUAGGACG
Molecule: small nuclear RNA, 23 nt
Filed under: Arabidopsis thaliana (thale cress)
Lineage: Eukaryota; Viridiplantae; Streptophyta; Magnoliopsida; Brassicales; Brassicaceae
Description: snRNA_05277
Source: RNAcentral